This 730-nucleotide small RNA is filed under the name Histoplasma capsulatum var. duboisii H88. Its description in RNAcentral is "Histoplasma capsulatum H88 hypothetical RNA". Lineage: Eukaryota; Fungi; Ascomycota; Eurotiomycetes; Onygenales; Ajellomycetaceae. The record is from RNAcentral.
CGGCAAAACUAUCAUGACAUGGGAUUAGGGGCGGCUAGCCUGAGCGUGCAAUGAAGGAAGUAUAAAGCUGGUUUAGAUGCGGGUUAUAGAGGACUUUGUGGGGCAUUAUGGUGGCCUCAUAUUCUUCGGAUCUUACAACAAAAAAAAAAAAAAAAAAACGUGGGACUCUUCUGACAAAUAUUAGAAUAUCUUUGUUCUCCUUGGACGUGACAACUGCUGCUACAGAUUCCUACCACAAGACAAACCACACCUAGGCUUUCUGGAGUACAUUAAUCAAAGCUCUCAUCACACACGGCAACUGGCGGGUCUGCACUCUCAUUCUCAGAUGCCAAAUACCAUUUCUCUGUCAGUGGCAAUAAUAAGUCAUCUGCUGCUGAAAUCCAAGCCAAAAUCCCAUUGAUUGUGUGUGUGUGUGUGUGUGUGUGUGUGUGUGUGUGUGGUAUAGCUGAUUCGCACGGCUGCUUUAUGACUCAUAAAGUGAGCACUGUAUCUUCAAAGAACAUGGUCAUCGAGUGGGUGUAAUUGAUGACUGAAAUGACAAUGAUUCUAUUGCCUCACUUGGUGUAAAUGAAAUUUACUGAGAAGCAAAAGGAAGGAUUCUGGUGAUGGUGGGAAGAUGGAAGUCUGCCAUGUUAUUGCAACAAGGGUUGUGAAUUCAAAUGUGAGGGUGUUUGUGUCAUGAAUGACUAGGAAAAACUACCCUGUAUCUAUAGCCAUGGUUCAAAAGAGA